CUACGGGCGGCACCAGUGGGGAAUAUUGCGCAAUGGGCGAAAGCCUGACGCAGCAACGCCGCGUGAGUGAUGAAGGCCUUCGGGUCGUAAAGCUCUGUCGGGAGGGAAGAACACCUUCGGGUCUGACGGUACCUCCCGAGGAAGCACAGGCUAACUCCGUGCCAGCAGCGGCGGUAAUACGGAGUGUGCAAGCGUUGUUCGGAAUUACUGGGCGUAAAGCGCGCGUAGGCGGCUUGAUAAGUCAGAUGUGAAAUCCCUCGGCUUAACCGAGGAACUGCAUUUGAAACUGUCAGGCUUGAGUACGGGAGGGGGAAGCGGAAUUCCCAGUGUAGAGGUGAAAUUCGUAGAUAUUGGGAGGAACACCAGCGGCGAAGGCGGCUUCCUGGACCGAUACUGACGCUGAGGCGCGAAAGCGUGGGGAGCAAACAGGAUUAGAUACCCCCGUAGUC
This 449-nucleotide ribosomal RNA is filed under the name uncultured bacterium. Its description in RNAcentral is "partial 16S ribosomal RNA". It matches the Rfam family "Bacterial small subunit ribosomal RNA", at positions 339 to 795 of the family's 1533-position model. The record is from RNAcentral.